Molecule: ribosomal RNA, 192 nt
Filed under: uncultured rumen bacterium
Lineage: Bacteria
Description: partial 16S ribosomal RNA
Rfam family: Bacterial small subunit ribosomal RNA
Source: RNAcentral
UACGGGAGGCAGCAGUAAGGAAUUUUCGGCAAUGGGGGAAACCCUGACCGAGCAACGCCGCGUGAGUGAUGAAGGCCUUCGGGUCGUAAAGCUCUGUGGUAGAGGAAGAAUACCUUGAAUAGGAAAUGAUUCAGGGCUGACGGUACUCUGCUAGAAAGUCACGGCUUACUACGUGCCAGCAGCCGCGGUAAU